GGAGUUUGGGCCGUGUCUCAGUCCCAAUGUGGCCGUCCGACCUCUCAGUCCGGCUACAGAUCGUUGCUUUGGUGGGCCGUUACCCCGCCAACUGGCUAAUCUGACGCGGGCCCAUCUCAUACCACCGGAGUUUUUCACACUGUGUCAUGCGACACUGUGCGCUUAUGCGGUAUUAACAGUCGUUUCCAGCUGUUAUCCCCCUGUGAAGGACAGGUUGCUCACGCGUUACUCACCCGUCCGCCGCUAAAACAUACAUCUUCAAUUCCGUCCGAAAACUUCCUAUCAGUCGUAUGUCUCCGCUCGACUUGCAUGUGUUAGGCACGCCGCCAGCGUUCGUCCUGAGCCACUGAUCAAACUCU
This 359-nucleotide ribosomal RNA is filed under the name uncultured Butyrivibrio sp. RNAcentral's name for it is "partial 16S ribosomal RNA". The record is from RNAcentral. Lineage: Bacteria; Bacillati; Bacillota; Clostridia; Lachnospirales; Lachnospiraceae.